Non-coding RNA from Cricetulus griseus (Chinese hamster), 259 nucleotides. The record is from Rfam. NCBI's taxonomy places the organism in Eukaryota, Metazoa, Chordata, Mammalia, Rodentia, Cricetidae.
UGAGCAAUUUUGCUGCAACUUCUCUCAUUCCUUUGAUCAUCAGGGUUUAUUGGGUUGCUCUUCAUCACUACUCAAUGUGCGUCCCUCCCAGAGCUGCAUGUUCGGGUAAAAAAGGCAACUUUUGCCAAAUAAAGGAGGGCCAGUCUUUCGUCAAUGAUGUGUGAGUAGUUGUGCUUCUGCUGAUAGAACAUAAAAACAAGUUAUCAAAGCAAAUUUAUUUAUUUUUUAAUGUGAAGUUCAAAUGUGCCAUGGUGCCCAU